This 49-nucleotide small RNA is filed under the name Sinorhizobium meliloti 2011. Its description in RNAcentral is "putative ncRNA". The record is from RNAcentral. Lineage: Bacteria; Pseudomonadati; Pseudomonadota; Alphaproteobacteria; Hyphomicrobiales; Rhizobiaceae.
ACAGCGCCGCACCUUGAAGUGUAACGCUUAGUGUUAUAUAUAGACCGGU